CAUGCAGUCGAACGAAGCCUUCGGGCUUAGUGGCGCACGGGUGCGUAACGCGUGGGAAUCUGCCCUUGGGUUCGGAAUAACAGUGAGAAAUUACUGCUAAUACCGGAUGAUGUCUUCGGACCAAAGAUUUAUCGCCCAGGGAUGAGCCCGCGUUAGAUUAGCUAGUUGGUGGGGUAAUGGCCUACCAAGGCGACGAUCUAUAGCUGGUCUGAGAGGAUGAUCAGCCACACUGGGACUGAGACACGGCCCAGACUCCUACGGGAGGCAGCAGUGGGGAAUAUUGGACAAUGGGCGAAAGCCUGAUCCAGCAAUGCCGCGUGAGUGAUGAAGGCCUCAGGGUUGUAAAGCUCUUUUACCAGGGAUGAUAAUGACAGUACCCGGAGAAUAAGCUCCGGCUAACUCCGUGCCAGCAGCCGCGGUAAUACGGAGGGAGCUAGCGUUGUUCGGAAUUACUGGGCGUAAAGCGCGCGUAGGCGGUGACUCAAGUCAGAGGUGAAAGCCCGGGGCUCAACCCCGGAACUGCCUUUGAAACUAGGUCGCUAGAAUCUUGGAGAGGCGAGUGGAAUUCCGAGUGUAGAGGUGAAAUUCGUAGAUAUUCGGAAGAACACCAGUGGCGAAGGCGACUCGCUGGACAAGUAUUGACGCUGAGGUGCGAAAGUGUGGGGAGCAAACAGGAUUAGAUACCCUGGUAGUCCACACCGUAAACGAUGAUAACUAGCUGUCCGGGCUCUUGGAGUUUGGGUGGCGCAGCUAACGCAUUAAGUUAUCCGCCUGGGGAGUACGGUCGCAAGAUUAAAACUUAAAGGAAUUGAC
RNAcentral lists this ribosomal RNA (813 nucleotides) under uncultured Sphingomonas sp. Its description in RNAcentral is "bacterial SSU rRNA". It matches the Rfam family "Bacterial small subunit ribosomal RNA", at positions 54 to 914 of the family's 1533-position model. Lineage: Bacteria; Pseudomonadati; Pseudomonadota; Alphaproteobacteria; Sphingomonadales; Sphingomonadaceae. The record is from RNAcentral.